UAAGGAAUAUUGGUUAAUGGACGCAAGUCUGAACCAGCCAUGCCGCGUGAAGGAUGAAGGUCCUCUGGAUUGUAAACUUCUUUUAUCUGGGACGAAAACGGGAUUUUUAUCUCAAUUGACGGUACCAGAGGAAUAAGCACCGGCUAACUCCGUGCCAGCAGCCGCGGUAAUACGGAGGGUGCGAGCGUUAUCCGGAUUUACUGGGUUUAAAGGGUGCGUAGGUGGGCUUAUAAGUCAGUGGUGAAAUCUCCGAGCUUAACUUGGAAACUGCCGUUGAUACUAUAGGUCUUGAAUUAUCUGGAGGUCAGCGGAAUAUGUCAUGUAGCGGUGAAAUGCUUAGAUAUGACAUAGAACACCAAUUGCGAAGGCAGCUUACUACAUAUAAAUUGACGCUGAGGCACGAAAGCGUGGGGAUCAAACA
This 421-nucleotide ribosomal RNA is filed under the name uncultured bacterium. Its description in RNAcentral is "bacterial SSU rRNA". It matches the Rfam family "Bacterial small subunit ribosomal RNA", at positions 355 to 774 of the family's 1533-position model. The record is from RNAcentral.